This 253-nucleotide ribosomal RNA is filed under the name uncultured archaeon. RNAcentral's name for it is "partial 16S ribosomal RNA". It matches the Rfam family "Archaeal small subunit ribosomal RNA", at positions 474 to 727 of the family's 1478-position model. The record is from RNAcentral.
AACCAGCACCUCAAGUGGUCAGGAGGAUUAUUGGGCCUAAAGCAUCCGUAGCCGGCUCUGUAAGUUUUCGGUUAAAUCCAUGUGCUCAACGCAUGGGCUGCCGAAAAUACUGCAUAGCUAGGGAGUGGGAGAGGUAGACGGUACUCGGUAGGAAGGGGUAAAAUCCUUUGAUCUAUCGAUGACCACCUGUGGCGAAGGCGGUCUACCAGAACACGUUCGACGGUGAGGGAUGAAAGCUGGGGGAGCAAACAGG